CCCAGAUUUUCUCAGGGGGCAACAAUUUUGCCAGGGAACGCCACUUCAUGGCUAUCGUAUGUUAUAGGCUCCAAAGGCGGUAGAAUCCCUGUGAUGUUGUCCACUGUUCACCCCGUGUUCUUUUAAGCAUAUGUACCUGCUCAAAAAUGCAAAAUCUUGCAAGCCUGUGGACACAAUACUGAAGUGAAGAACGUCAGUAGAUUUACAUGUAGGAAUUUUUUUUGAGCGCUCUCUUUUGCAUGAUAUUUUUUUAUCGAUU
Molecule: non-coding RNA, 259 nt
Organism: Paramuricea clavata
Lineage: Eukaryota; Metazoa; Cnidaria; Anthozoa; Malacalcyonacea; Plexauridae
Source: the annotation of a GenBank genome assembly